AAGUCGUAACAAGGUCUCCGUUGGUGAACCAGCGGAGGGAUCAUUACCGAGUUUACAACUCCCAAACCCACUGUGAACAUACCUUUUUGUUGCUUCGGCGGGACCGCCCCCGGCGCCUCGGCGCUAGGAAUCACGGCACCCGCCGAAGGCCCUAAACUCUCUGUUUUAAACAUGGUUUCUCUGAGUGGCGUAAGCAAAAAAUAAAUCAAAACUUUCAACAACGGAUCUCUUGGUUCUG
This 238-nucleotide unclassified non-coding RNA is filed under the name air metagenome. RNAcentral's name for it is "partial contains small subunit ribosomal RNA, internal transcribed spacer 1, and 5.8S ribosomal RNA". The stretch from base 1 to 46 matches the Rfam family "Eukaryotic small subunit ribosomal RNA", at positions 1786 to 1831 of the family's 1831-position model. The record is from RNAcentral.